This is a long non-coding RNA of Silurus meridionalis, 613 nucleotides long. RefSeq lists it as uncharacterized. The transcript has 2 exons. The record is from RefSeq and is a predicted model, not a curated record. Lineage: Eukaryota; Metazoa; Chordata; Actinopteri; Siluriformes; Siluridae.
CUCCCACGUGACAACAGUGGUAUAUAAAAGACAUGUAUCUGAGACCGGAACGUGAGAAACCAACAGAUACUUCUACAGAUGAAGAUCUCCUCCUGCAGCCUUCUCACACCUUCUACUGAACUUCAACAUCAAGUUCUAACAGCUUUCGUGUCGCAAGAAUAGACUCCAGAUCCACUACCAGCUGACCAAGAUGAAGAUCCUCGCUCUUGGUACUUUAAUACGCUUCAUUUCAAACAUUUAUUACAGUUUGAGGAUUAAAUGCUUCUUUAAUGAUAAGUAACUUUAAAACAAAAACCAAAUACGAGGUGUGAGGAAUGAAACUGUGUGUGUGUGAUGCUGUUGUAGGAAAUGAAUCAGUGAGGUGGUGAUGUGAUGAAGUGCAGUUACUGAUACACACCGAUACUGACUUUCUUAUAACAACUCAUCCAGAAGGGGUUCAUCCUUUUUGUCCACUUUUUAUCCGUUUUAUUCACUUAGUCACAUUUAAUAUUCUGAAAUAACCAUGAAAGCAGUUAUGUGACAGUCCCCUCAGUGUUUUCUGUGUUUGUGUCUAAAAAUCUCUUUAUUCUGUUAAUUAUCCUGCAGAUCUUUAAUAAAACUUCACUGUUUGCUG